CUGUCUGAUGGAAAUCAACGGUCUGUAACCAUGGUCCUUCGGUACGCGCGCGACACUGAAUCCGCGUCUAUUAAUGGUUUAAGAAGGUGGGGCGCGUGUAUAUGGUUGGCAAAAUUGCAGAAAAUUACAGAAAUGCCCCUGUUGCUCUAUUCUUUCAAAAAUUAAAAGAAUGAGUAUUUUGGUCCAACUCAAAAGGUGCAC
This 201-nucleotide long non-coding RNA is filed under the name Trifolium pratense (red clover). RNAcentral describes it as "long non-coding RNA (TPRA_LNC013725)". Lineage: Eukaryota; Viridiplantae; Streptophyta; Magnoliopsida; Fabales; Fabaceae. The record is from RNAcentral.